UACGGAGGGUGCGAGCGUUAAUCGGAAUUACUGGGCGUAAAGCGCACGUAGGCGGUCUGGUAAGUCGGAUGUGAAAGCCCCGGGCUUAACCUGGGAAUUGCAUUCGAUACUGCCUGACUGGAGUAUGGGAGAGGGAAGCGGAAUUUCCGGUGUAGCGGUGAAAUGCGUAGAUAUCGGAAGGAACAUCAAUGGCGAAGGCAGCUUCCUGGCCCAAUACUGACGCUGAGGUGCGAAAGCGUGGGGAUCAAAC
RNAcentral lists this ribosomal RNA (250 nucleotides) under uncultured bacterium. Its description in RNAcentral is "partial 16S ribosomal RNA". It matches the Rfam family "Bacterial small subunit ribosomal RNA", at positions 524 to 773 of the family's 1533-position model. The record is from RNAcentral.